CGGUCUUGGUCUCGAGACCACUUUUACGUGGUCUUGGUCUCGACGGACUUUUGUCUUGGUCUCGGUCUUGGUCUCGCUGUUUCGGUCUUGCGUUCUCAAAUCGACAUAGUGUUCGGGAGAUUUGGAGUCAACCAUCAGCGGAGCGGGGGGGUGGCUUACUGGGCUUAAGCCAGGGUCAUUUUUUCAGAAGCAUGGGGUCUUUUGGAGUGUAAUUUGUUAGUUAGAUGCCUGACUGACAACUGUAUAAAACAAAAGCAACACACGAAGCACAGAGCGCGCCGUCGUAAAUUCCCCCUAAUUUUGGUAUGAUCCGAGCUCAGGCACUAGGUGACUGAGCACAGCACGCAUGUGAGCGAGUCGGGAGAAGCUGCUGCCUGUGAGUUUGCUGCAGACAGAGGAGAGCUUAAGUUUAACCAGCAGAUUGAUGAGACAACAGCAGAGCAGGAAACAUGAGCAGAUACAGGAGACACGGUGCAAAAGGAGCCAUCAUGGAACAACAGGAAGGUGCUGAGACCAGGGCUGAUCCACCAGGGGGCGACCCUGUUGACUUCAGGGGUACAGUGUUUCGUUUCUGACUGCGAUCACUGCUCUCGCAGUUUCUGAAGUUUCAACCUCACUAAGCAACCUGAGUGUCCAUGGAAAAAUUUCAAUGAUUGCUGCCCUUCCCUCAGCCUGGUUCUGCUGGAGGUUUCAUCCUGUUACUGUCAUGGUCUGGGUGAGUUCUGAAGCACCUGUGUUCCUGGCAUCUCCACCCCUGGGCGGGGUCCUUUUGUUUCCUCUGACCGGUGGCACUUGUGAGCAAUUAGGCUGUGGAGAUAUAAGACCAGCGCGUGCAACUACUCCUUGCCAGAUCGUCAGCCCACCCGUGUUAGUGAAUGUUUCGCAGUCACUGAAUGUUGUCAAGUUUUUACUAGAAUUAAUUCUGUGCUCUCUGCUCACAGUUAAACCUCCGGACAUCUUGCAAUCAGGUUCCCAUUUCCUCAUUGACUUGGAUUGCUGGAUUACUCGCAGCCUAACCGGACACGCUCACCUGCCCGCCCCCUGUGCCCAGCACAUUGUGGAUGCAUUGAAUAUCUCCUUCAUGUCACCCAGACCAUCUUCCCCCUCUAUGCUUUGCCUCCACCUGUAGAAAUGACUUGGGUUUCAUGCUUCCUCCUUUUUCCCCGGGUUCCUGCUCUGGACAGUGUCGGGUUCCCAGCUAUGUCCACGACAGCCCCAAGGCUUCCUCAUGGACUUCCUCACUGACUAUUUAAUGCGAACCAUGUAUUCACUGUAAAUGCGUAUAUAGAGGGACUCAUGUAGUGUCUCUUCCAGUAGGGCAACGUUUAUAGUAUUCACCUGGAGUGUUUAGUAUUGUGCUCAGGGAAUCUUAGUUUGACCUUCGUUUGUAGUGAGACUAACUACAUUCUGUUUUUGCUGCAGGGUUUCCUUAGCUCAUUGAGAUGAUAAUUAAUCAGAUGAUCUCGUGGUGUUUCAUUAUUUGAAGUCAUAGCUAAAUCUGAAUUAACAGUGACUGGUCUGAAUUUAUGUAAUCCCCAAGGUUUUAGUAAAUCAUGUCAGACAUUGUUUAUUUGAGUUGUCACCCUGUCGGUACUGUUAUUUUGUAAAUAAAGUUUCGGAUAUUUGCAUUCACUUCACGUGAAUGGGUCAUGA
Long non-coding RNA from Oreochromis niloticus (Nile tilapia), 1653 nucleotides. RefSeq lists it as uncharacterized. The record is from RefSeq and is a predicted model, not a curated record. The transcript has 5 exons. Lineage: Eukaryota; Metazoa; Chordata; Actinopteri; Cichliformes; Cichlidae.